GACAGAGGCCCCGAGCGUUAGGCGGAAUCACUGGGCUUAAAGCGUGUGUAGGCGGAUCGUUAAGUGUCUUGUGAAAUCCCACGGCUCACCCGUGGAACUGCUGGGCAUACUGGCGAUCUUGGGCCAACUAGGGGCAGCCGGAACAAGCGGUGGAGCGGUGAAAUGCGUAGAUAUCGCUUGGAACGCCGAAGGUGAAAACAGGCUGCUGGGGUUGCGCCGACGCUGAGACACGAAAGCCAGGGGAGCAAACGGG
Molecule: ribosomal RNA, 253 nt
Filed under: uncultured bacterium
Lineage: Bacteria
Description: partial 16S ribosomal RNA
Rfam family: Bacterial small subunit ribosomal RNA
Source: RNAcentral